GUGGGGAAUAUUGGACAAUGGGGGGAACCCUGAUCCAGCCAUGCCGCGUGUGUGAAGAAGGCCUUUUGGUUGUAAAGCACUUUAAGCGAGGAGGAGGCUACCGAGAUUAAUACUCUUGGAUAGUGGACGUUACUCGCAGAAUAAGCACCGGCUAACUCUGUGCCAGCAGCCGCGGUAAUCCAGAGGGUGCAAGCGUCAAUCGGAUUUACUGGGCGUAAAGCGCGCGUAGGUGGCCAAUUAAGUCAAAUGUGAAAUCCCCGAGCUUAACUUGGGAAUGGCAGUUGAUACUGGUUGGCUAGAGGAUGGGAGAGGAUGGUAGAAUUCCAGGUGUAGCGGUGAAAUGCGUAGAGAUCUGGGGGAAUACCGAUGGCGAAGGCAGCCAUCUGGCCUAAUACUGACACUGAGGUGCGAAAGCGUGGGGAGCAAACAGGAUUAGAUACCCCGGUAGUCC
RNAcentral lists this ribosomal RNA (451 nucleotides) under uncultured bacterium. Its description in RNAcentral is "bacterial SSU rRNA". It matches the Rfam family "Bacterial small subunit ribosomal RNA", at positions 354 to 796 of the family's 1533-position model. The record is from RNAcentral.